CUUCUAAAACCCUUCAUCUCCGCCGCCAUUCUCAUGGUUCAAAUUUUGGAAUCGGGGAGAACAAAAUUUCUAGCUGUGUUGUUCCGAUUUCUGGAUUCAAUUUCUUGUUGUGUUGUUUCGAUUUUCAUGAUUCGAUUUUUCUGUUGUGUUGUUUCGAUUUCUGGAUUCGAUUUUCAUGGUUCAAAUUUCAAGAUUCGAUUCGGU
This 204-nucleotide long non-coding RNA is filed under the name Salvia miltiorrhiza (redroot sage). RNAcentral's name for it is "long non-coding RNA (SMIL_LNC011058)". The record is from RNAcentral. Lineage: Eukaryota; Viridiplantae; Streptophyta; Magnoliopsida; Lamiales; Lamiaceae.